UUUCAAGCAAGACGAGCCUUCAUUGACAGUGAUGCCCUAAAAGAAGAAGAUAGGCCCACAAAGAUUCUGGAUGCUUAUCCAUGUUUCAAGGAUCUUCGUAAUGUGAUGGGUGAGCUGUGUCGGAUCUUGGAUAAGGGCAACAGCAAAUUCAUAGAUGGGUUAAAGAAAAGAUGGCAAGACUUCUGCGCCAAGGUGCAGUUUUAUGCUGUUUGGAAGAAAGUGAUGAAGCCACCCAUGACCCUGGAUGGAGUGGAAUAUGCCAUGGCACUAUUCAGGGCACUCCCCACACUCUUU
Pimephales promelas (fathead minnow) is the source of this 294-nucleotide non-coding RNA. The record is from RefSeq and is a predicted model, not a curated record. Lineage: Eukaryota; Metazoa; Chordata; Actinopteri; Cypriniformes; Leuciscidae.